CUAGGAAUCUUGGGAAUGGGCGAAAGCCUGACCCAGCAACGCCGCGUGGGCGAUGAAGGCCUUCGGGUCGUAAAGCCCUUUUGCGAGGGAAGAUGAUGACGGUACCUCGCGAAUAAGCCACGGCUAACUACGUGCCAGCAGCCGCGGUAAUACGUAGGUGGCGAGCGUUGUCCGGAUUUACUGGGCGUAAAGGGCGUGCAGGCGGUUUGUUAAGUCUAGGGUGAAAGCUCCCGGCUCAACUGGGAGAGGUCCUUGGAUACUGGCAGACUUGAGGAGAGUAGAGGAGAGUGGAAUUCCCGGUGUAGUGGUGAUAUGCGUAGAUAUCGGGAGGAACACCAGUGGCGAAGGCGGCUCUCUGGGCUCUACCUGACGCUGAGACGCGAAAGCGUGGGGAGCGAACCGG
This 403-nucleotide ribosomal RNA is filed under the name uncultured bacterium. RNAcentral's name for it is "bacterial SSU rRNA". It matches the Rfam family "Bacterial small subunit ribosomal RNA", at positions 355 to 776 of the family's 1533-position model. The record is from RNAcentral.